CUAUAGUUUUGAUGGAAAUACUACUUUUAGCUCUCCUAGCUUAAAUAGUGGUUUGUCAGCAGGAGCACAU
This 70-nucleotide unclassified non-coding RNA is filed under the name Flavobacterium frigoris. Its description in RNAcentral is "Flavo-1 RNA". Lineage: Bacteria; Pseudomonadati; Bacteroidota; Flavobacteriia; Flavobacteriales; Flavobacteriaceae. The record is from RNAcentral.